Molecule: non-coding RNA, 117 nt
Organism: Podarcis lilfordi (Lilford's wall lizard)
Lineage: Eukaryota; Metazoa; Chordata; Lepidosauria; Squamata; Lacertidae
Source: the annotation of a GenBank genome assembly
CUUCCAGUAGCACCUUAGAGACCAACUAAGUUUGCUAUUGGUAUGAGCUUUCGUGUGCAUACACACUUCUUCAGAUACAAUAACAAACUUAGUUGUUCUCUAAGGUGCUACUGGAAG